RNAcentral lists this long non-coding RNA (819 nucleotides) under Calidris pugnax (ruff). Its description in RNAcentral is "lncRNA (ENSCPUG00000004619.1)". Lineage: Eukaryota; Metazoa; Chordata; Aves; Charadriiformes; Scolopacidae. The record is from RNAcentral.
CAUGAAGUAAACUUUCCAAUUUAUUCCAUUGCAGCCUUCUUCGGAAAAAAAAAAAGUGCAGAGAGAAGAGUCACCAACCACCCCCUGCCCUCUGAGGGACAGUGACAAACGAACGGAAGGAGGGAUGAGUGGGACCAUGUCGGAAAGGAUGUCAGAAGACUGUCCAAAACCAGCCAAAGCCCCCAAACUGCUCGUGGUUUCACCCUGGUUAACGUGGGAUGAUGCCCGGCUCCCGCAGCUGCAGCCAGCUUAGCCCAGGGACUGCAGAGAUAAGAGCAGGGCUUGAGAACCAGCUCCAAAGAGCCAUAAAAAUCACAAGCACAGAAGAGAGAAAAUCUCCAUUAAACUCAGGGCGUAGUUAUAACUGACUCCUUGGCUGGGGGCUUUGCAGCCCGAGCUGCUGGAGAUGGCCCUGCCCUCCCCAGGGAGCUCCCUGGAUCUGCUGGAGCUUUGAAGCAAGAGCGAAGGUGCCUGAGCCCCCGAGAGCUCAGUGCAGGAGCAGAGGGAAUUCCCAGGAUGGGGAUAACGAGACGAGUUUCAGCCCAGCCAGGGAUUUCUCCGGAAAGUCAAACUUCAACCGGGCAGUUGUCGACUUGGCAUCCUUUGGUCCAGCUCCGCUCACUUGAGACAAGGAGAUCCUUCUUAAACCCACCCUGGAAAGACACCGAUAGCAGGGGCUCCUUGGCCAGGACCUGGCGGGGACGGGAGGGAGCGCCCAGGACCCCCCGGCAGCCGGCAGAGCCGCUGGGGGAAGCGGGGACCCCCGGGGACCCCCGGCAGGAGGAGGCAGCAUCGGGGACACCACGGGAGAAAGGCUGA